Loxodonta africana (African savanna elephant) is the source of this 76-nucleotide microRNA precursor. The record is from Ensembl. Lineage: Eukaryota; Metazoa; Chordata; Mammalia; Proboscidea; Elephantidae.
GGUGUCUUGUUAAAAUGCUGCUUCUGAUUCAGUAGGUCUGGGGUGGGGCCUAAGACUCUGCAUUUCUAACAAGUUC